RNAcentral lists this ribosomal RNA (2153 nucleotides) under Salmonella enterica. RNAcentral describes it as "partial 23S ribosomal RNA". It matches the Rfam family "Bacterial large subunit ribosomal RNA", at positions 668 to 2802 of the family's 2925-position model. RNAcentral also lists the same sequence under 1 other name. Lineage: Bacteria; Pseudomonadati; Pseudomonadota; Gammaproteobacteria; Enterobacterales; Enterobacteriaceae. The record is from RNAcentral.
GAGGGAAACCGAGUCUUAAUUGGGCGUUAAGUUGCAGGGUAUAGACCCGAAACCCGGUGAUCUAGCCAUGGGCAGGUUGAAGGUUGGGUAACACUAACUGGAGGACCGAACCGACUAAUGUUGAAAAAUUAGCGGAUGACCUGUGGCUGGGGGUGAAAGGCCAAUCAAACCGGGAGAUAGCUGGUUCUCCCCGAAAGCUAUUUAGGUAGCGCCUCGUGAAUUCAUCUCCGGGGGUAGAGCACUGUUUCGGCUAGGGGGCCAUCCCGGCUUACCAACCCGAUGCAAACUGCGAAUACCGGAGAAUGUUAUCACGGGAGACACACGGCGGGUGCUAACGUCCGUCGUGAAGAGGGAAACAACCCAGACCGCCAGCUAAGGUCCCAAAGUCAUGGUUAAGUGGGAAACGAUGUGGGAAGGCCCAGACAGCCAGGAUGUUGGCUUAGAAGCAGCCAUCAUUUAAAGAAAGCGUAAUAGCUCACUGGUCGAGUCGGCCUGCGCGGAAGAUGUAACGGGGCUAAACCAUGCACCGAAGCUGCGGCAGCGACACUCAGGUGUUGUUGGGUAGGGGAGCGUUCUGUAAGCCUGCGAAGGUGGCCUGUGAGGGUUGCUGGAGGUAUCAGAAGUGCGAAUGCUGACAUAAGUAACGAUAAAGCGGGUGAAAAGCCCGCUCGCCGGAAGACCAAGGGUUCCUGUCCAACGUUAAUCGGGGCAGGGUGAGUCGACCCCUAAGGCGAGGCCGAAAGGCGUAGUCGAUGGGAAACGGGUUAAUAUUCCCGUACUUGGUGUUACUGCGAAGGGGGGACGGAGAAGGCUAUGUUGGCCGGGCGACGGUUGUCCCGGUUUAAGCGUGUAGGUGUGUGUUCCAGGUAAAUCCGGUUCACUUUAACACUGAGGCGUGACGACGAGGCACUACGGUGCUGAAGCAACAAAUGCCCUGCUUCCAGGAAAAGCCUCUAAGCAUCAGGUAACAUCAAAUCGUACCCCAAACCGACACAGGUGGUCAGGUAGAGAAUACCAAGGCGCUUGAGAGAACUCGGGUGAAGGAACUAGGCAAAAUGGUGCCGUAACUUCGGGAGAAGGCACGCUGACACGUAGGUGAAGUGAUUUACUCACGGAGCUGAAGUCAGUCGAAGAUACCAGCUGGCUGCAACUGUUUAUUAAAAACACAGCACUGUGCAAACACGAAAGUGGACGUAUACGGUGUGACGCCUGCCCGGUGCCGGAAGGUUAAUUGAUGGGGUCAGCGCAAGCGAAGCUCCUGAUCGAAGCCCCGGUAAACGGCGGCCGUAACUAUAACGGUCCUAAGGUAGCGAAAUUCCUUGUCGGGUAAGUUCCGACCUGCACGAAUGGCGUAAUGAUGGCCAGGCUGUCUCCACCCGAGACUCAGUGAAAUUGAACUCGCUGUGAAGAUGCAGUGUACCCGCGGCAAGACGGAAAGACCCCGUGAACCUUUACUAUAGCUUGACACUGAACAUUGAGCCUUGAUGUGUAGGAUAGGUGGGAGGCUUUGAAGUGUGGACGCCAGUCUGCAUGGAGCCGACCUUGAAAUACCACCCUUUAAUGUUUGAUGUUCUAACGUGGACCCGUGAUCCGGGUUGCGGACAGUGUCUGGUGGGUAGUUUGACUGGGGCGGUCUCCUCCUAAAGAGUAACGGAGGAGCACGAAGGUUGGCUAAUCCUGGUCGGACAUCAGGAGGUUAGUGCAAUGGCAUAAGCCAGCUUGACUGCGAGCGUGACGGCGCGAGCAGGUGCGAAAGCAGGUCAUAGUGAUCCGGUGGUUCUGAAUGGAAGGGCCAUCGCUCAACGGAUAAAAGGUACUCCGGGGAUAACAGGCUGAUACCGCCCAAGAGUUCAUAUCGACGGCGGUGUUUGGCACCUCGAUGUCGGCUCAUCACAUCCUGGGGCUGAAGUAGGUCCCAAGGGUAUGGCUGUUCGCCAUUUAAAGUGGUACGCGAGCUGGGUUUAGAACGUCGUGAGACAGUUCGGUCCCUAUCUGCCGUGGGCGCUGGAGAACUGAGGGGGGCUGCUCCUAGUACGAGAGGACCGGAGUGGACGCAUCACUGGUGUUCGGGUUGUCAUGCCAAUGGCACUGCCCGGUAGCUAAAUGCGGAAGAGAUAAGUGCUGAAAGCAUCUAAGCACGAAACUUGCCCCGA